AAUUGCAAUUCCAUAUUCAGUAUAUUUUAUUAUUCUAAUCGCAUGUCUUGUUCAGCAGUUGUCCUUUCUCUAGCAUUGCUCACGUGUAUUUUUUUUUUUUUUUUAAUUUUCAGGAAGGUAGGGGCUUUGGGACCCAAUGGAAAGCAGAAGACGCAGUGAUCUGCCGUUUAAAUCCCUGUCUCUGAAUCUACACCCUCAGGGAAUUUCAUGAGAGAGGAAAGGCUGAGGUCAGAAUUCUUUUAUGAGAAGACUUCUUCAGUGAUGAGAGAAGUCUCCAGACUCAGGUGGGAAUCCUUAAAGGAUGAAAUCCUCCAAUAUGAAGCAGCUUUCCUCAGCAGACAAAAGUACAACGAAGGACAAAGGAUAAUAUUAAAGUAUGUUGAAAAGAGUGCAGCAGAGAGCCUGCCUCCUCAGAAUGGAACCAGCCACCAACCAGAAUGGAGUCUGGCCACAGGUGAGAUUUGAGAAAGUGACAUUGAUGAGUGACAAUUUCAUAUAAAUCCUCUUCUUAGUCAACUUUUAAAGUUUUCUAUUGAUUCCAUGCGUUUGUUAAAAUCAAAAUGGUCUCUAAAUUAUUUUUUGUUGCCAUUUCCCGUGAGAUGAUUCUCGAUUACAUUAAUCUACCUGAUUGUAUACAUGUUGUGUUUAACCUAUAUCAAUCACUUCAGAGAUGUUCUUAACCAUUCAAUUAUUUGAAUUUUGA
RNAcentral lists this long non-coding RNA (703 nucleotides) under Callithrix jacchus (white-tufted-ear marmoset). RNAcentral's name for it is "lncRNA (ENSCJAG00000056724.2)". The record is from RNAcentral. Lineage: Eukaryota; Metazoa; Chordata; Mammalia; Primates; Cebidae.